CCUACGGGGAGCAGCAGUGGGGAAUAUUGCACAAUGGGGGAAACCCUGAUGCAGCGACGCCGCGUGAGUGAAGAAGUAUCUCGGUACGUAAAGCUCUAUCAGCAGGGAAGAAAAUGACGGUAGCUGACUAAGAAGCCCCGGCUAACUACGUGCCAGCAGCCGCGGUAAUACGUAAGGGGCAAGCGUUCACCGGAUUUACUGGGUGGAACGGGAGCGUAGACGGCAGGACAAGUCUGGAGUGAAAUCCCGGGGCUUAACCCCGGAACUGCUUUGGAAACUGGGCGGCUGGAGUGCAGGAGGGGUAAGCGGAAUUCCUAGUGUAGCGGUGAAAUGCGUAGAUAUUAGGAGGAACACCGGUGGCGAAGGCGGCUUACUGGACUGUAACUGACGUUGAGGCUCGAAAGCGUGGGGAGCAAACAGGAUUAGAUACCCCGGUAGUC
RNAcentral lists this ribosomal RNA (440 nucleotides) under uncultured bacterium. RNAcentral's name for it is "partial 16S ribosomal RNA". It matches the Rfam family "Bacterial small subunit ribosomal RNA", at positions 338 to 795 of the family's 1533-position model. The record is from RNAcentral.